This 218-nucleotide ribosomal RNA is filed under the name uncultured bacterium. RNAcentral describes it as "partial 16S ribosomal RNA". It matches the Rfam family "Bacterial small subunit ribosomal RNA", at positions 524 to 740 of the family's 1533-position model. The record is from RNAcentral.
UACGUAGGGGGCAAGCGUUGUCCGGAUUUAUUGGGCGUAAAGAGCGUGUAGGCGGCCUGAAAGGUCAGCUGUGAAAACUCGAGGCUCAACCUCGAGAUGUCGGUUGAAACCAUCUGGCUAGAGUCCGGAAGAGGAGAGUGGAAUUCCCGGUGUAGCGGUGAAAUGCGCAGAUAUCGGGGAAGAACACCCGUGGCGAAGGCGGCUCUCUGGGACGGUAC